This 990-nucleotide ribosomal RNA is filed under the name Triticum aestivum (bread wheat). Its description in RNAcentral is "partial small subunit ribosomal RNA". Lineage: Eukaryota; Viridiplantae; Streptophyta; Magnoliopsida; Poales; Poaceae. The record is from RNAcentral.
AUGAGCCAAUGCACCUAUCUAGCGGCCGUGGCCACGUCUCCUUUUUUGCGUCUAUUAACAGUGGGAGAAAGGGAUAAGCCCCGAGCGAUCCGUUUGGCUCCACUCCUCUCUCUUUCCCUUUUCCUCUGCCUCGUGCUCUCCUUUCCUCGCCGCCGCCACCCCAACCUAGGCGGCUCCUCUCCUCGUCGAACCAGCAGCCUCCUCUCCAUCUUCACGCGCAGCCUCCUUCCCACCGGGCUUCGCCUCUUCGGGCGGCGGGACGCAGUGGCUCUAUUGAUGGCAGAUGGGGCGACAACGGCGACGCUCCUCGUCGCCCAUGGCGGUCGGCGGCGCUCUGGCCGUGGAGGCCUGCUCCUCAUGCUCCUCCUCUACCCGCUCCACCUCUCCGCGGCCGCGCCCGAGUCCGAGUGCGCCAAGUUCGCCGGCCCGCGCGCGCACCUGCGCUGGCUCCGCUUCAUCCGGCCCGUGCCGCGCUGCGUUCGCCGCGUCGCCUCCUCCUGCGCUACGCCGGCUCCGCCGCCCCCGACCACGCCCCUGCGCAUGCCGCUGCAGCACCCCCGCGCGAUCGUCGGCUCGCUCCGGCCGGCUCCGCCUCUGCCCGGGGCCGGGUGCUCCUCUCCUCGCGCGCCCUCGCGGUCGCAAGAGGCGGAUAUGUACGGAGGAUCCACGAGCUUGGUGCCAUCCAUCCCGUCCGGCGACGCUCACCCCCUCUUCUCCAACGUGUCUGUGAUCUAUUCACUUGCGUCUUCACUGCCUCAAGUGCGCAGAAAUAUUAUUGUGCAGAGGUGGCUGCAGCUAUGCACAUCUGUUUUUGAGGCUGCAGAUGCGACCACCAGUUGUUUGUAUAAAUGCUCAAGGAGGACUGCUCUGGAGAGGACAACACGUGUGUUUGAAAGAGAGGGAUGGAAAAGAGGGGGCUGGAGUAAGAGAAGAGGAAGGAGUGGAGCCACAUGUUAUUUCUUUGUCAUCGACGUCAUCCCACCAUUAUAG